CAGUAGCCGCGGGAAUACGUAGGUGGCAGGCGUUGUCCGGAAUUAUUGGGCGUAAAGGGCUCGCAGGCGGCUUCUUAAGUCUGAUGUGAAAGCCCCCGGCUCAACCGGGGAGGGUCAUUGGAAACUGGGAAACUUGAGUGCAGAAGAGGAGAGUGGAAUUCCACGUGUAGCGGUGAAAUGCGUAGAGAUGUGGAGGAACACCAGUGGCGAAGGCGACUCUCUGGUCUGUAACUGACGCUGAGGAGCGAAAGCGUGGGGAGCGAACAGGAUUAGAUACCCCGGUAGUCCCUGUCUCUUAUAC
RNAcentral lists this ribosomal RNA (301 nucleotides) under uncultured bacterium. RNAcentral's name for it is "partial 16S ribosomal RNA". It matches the Rfam family "Bacterial small subunit ribosomal RNA", at positions 509 to 807 of the family's 1533-position model. The record is from RNAcentral.